UACAGAGAGUGCAAGCGUUAAUCGGAAUUACUGGGCGUAAAGCGCGCGUAGGUGGAUGUUUAAGUCGGAUGUGAAAGCCCUGGGCUUAACCUAGGAAUUGCAUUCGAUACUGAAUUGUCUCGAGUAUGGUAGAGGGAAGUGGAAUUUCCGGUGUAGCGGUGAAAUGCGUAGAUAUCGGAAAGAACACCAGUGGCGAAGGCGGCUUCCUGGACCAAUACUGACACUGAAGCGCGAAAGCGUGGGGA
RNAcentral lists this ribosomal RNA (245 nucleotides) under uncultured bacterium. Its description in RNAcentral is "partial 16S ribosomal RNA". It matches the Rfam family "Bacterial small subunit ribosomal RNA", at positions 524 to 767 of the family's 1533-position model. The record is from RNAcentral.